AAAAUCUCAUUUACUUGAA
This 19-nucleotide small nuclear RNA is filed under the name Arabidopsis thaliana (thale cress). Its description in RNAcentral is "snRNA_09237". The record is from RNAcentral. Lineage: Eukaryota; Viridiplantae; Streptophyta; Magnoliopsida; Brassicales; Brassicaceae.